This 795-nucleotide ribosomal RNA is filed under the name uncultured bacterium. RNAcentral's name for it is "bacterial SSU rRNA". It matches the Rfam family "Bacterial small subunit ribosomal RNA", at positions 8 to 796 of the family's 1533-position model. The record is from RNAcentral.
AGAGUUUGAUCAUGGCUCAGAUUGAACGCUGGCGGCGUGCCUAACACAUGCAAGUCGAGCGGUAACAGGUGUAGCAAUACAUGCUGACGAGCGGCGAACGGGUGAGUAAUGCUUUGGAAUCUUCCCAGUAGUGGGGAAUAACCAGUCGAAAGAUUGGCUAAUACCGCAUACGUCUGUAAAGGGAAAGCGGGGGCUCGUAAGACCUCGCGCUAUUGGAUGAGCCAAAGUCGGAUUAGCUAGUUGGUGGGGUAAUGGCCUACCAAGGCGACAAUCCGUAGCUGGUCUGAGAGGACGACCAGCCACACCGGAACUGAGACACGGUCCGGACUCCUACGGGAGGCAGCAGUGGGGAAUAUUGGACAAUGGGGGAAACCCUGAUCCAGCGACGCCGCGUGUGUGAAGAAGGCCUGCGGGUUGUAAAGCACUUUUAGUGGGGACAAAAAGCUACGGAUUAAUACUCUGUGGUCUUGAUUUAACCCAAAGAAAAAGCACCGGCUAACUCUGUGCCAGCAGCCGCGGUAAUACAGAGGGUGCGAGCGUUAAUCGGAAUUACUGGGCGUAAAGCGCGCGUAGACGGUUUUGUAAGUCAGAUGUGAAAUCCCUGGGCUCAACCUGGGAACUGCAUUUGAGACUGCAUGGCUAGAGUAUCGAAGAGGGAAGUGGAAUUUCCGGUGUAGCGGUGAAAUGCGUAGAUAUCGGAAGGAACACCAGUGGCGAAAGCGACUUCCUGGUCGAAUACUGACGUUCAUGUGCGAAAGCGUGGGGAGCAAACAGGAUUAGAUACCCCAGUAGUCC